This 326-nucleotide ribosomal RNA is filed under the name uncultured bacterium. RNAcentral describes it as "bacterial SSU rRNA". It matches the Rfam family "Bacterial small subunit ribosomal RNA", at positions 28 to 334 of the family's 1533-position model. The record is from RNAcentral.
GAUGAACGCUGGCGGCGUGCUUAACACAUGCAAGUCGAGCGAAGCACUUAAGUUUGAUUCUUCGGAUGAAGACUUUUGUGACUGAGCGGCGGACGGGUGAGUAACGCGUGGGUAACCUGCCUCAUACAGGGGGAUAACGCACCGAAAGGUGCACUAAUACCGCAUGAGACCACAGCUCUGCAUGGAGCAGUGGCUAAAGGAGAAAUCCGGUGAAGGGUGGGCUCGCGUCCGAUUAGCUAGUUGGCAGGGUGAUAGCCUACCAAGGCGACGAUCGGUAGCCGACCUGAGAGGGUGAUCGGCCACAUUGGAACUGAGAUACGGUCCAA